UUGGAGGGCAAGUCUGGUGCCAGCAGCCGCGGUAAUUCCAGCUCCAAUAGCGUAUAUUAAAGUUGUUGCAGUUAAAAAGCUCGUAGUUGAAUUUCGGGGUUCUACCGUUGGUCGGGCUAACCAGUCUGUACUAGCGUGUAGAAUUCUUACCUUCUGGGGAACCAUCAUGUUAUUAAUUUAGCGUGGUGGGAAACCAGGACCUUUACCUUGAAAAAAUUAGAGUGUUCAAAGCAGGCUUACGUCUGAAUACAUUAGCAUGGAAUAAUAAAAUAGGACGGUGGUCCUGUUUUGUUGGUUUCUGAAUCACCGUAAUGAUUAAUAGGGAUAGUUGGGGGCAUUAGUAUUCAAUUGUCAGAGGUGAAAUUCUUGGAUUUAUUGAAGACUAACUACUGCGAAAGCAUUUGCCAAGGAUGUUUUCAUUAAUCAAGAACGAAAGUUAGGGGAUCGAAGACGAUCAGAUACCGUCGUAGUCUUAACCAUAAACUAUGCCGACUAGGGAUCGGAUGAUGUUAAUUUUUAAUGACUCAUUCGGCGCCUUACGGGAACAGUCGACUGCC
This 557-nucleotide ribosomal RNA is filed under the name Scutellospora calospora. Its description in RNAcentral is "SSU rRNA". It matches the Rfam family "Eukaryotic small subunit ribosomal RNA", at positions 548 to 1099 of the family's 1831-position model. Lineage: Eukaryota; Fungi; Glomeromycota; Glomeromycetes; Diversisporales; Gigasporaceae. The record is from RNAcentral.